RNAcentral lists this unclassified non-coding RNA (198 nucleotides) under uncultured Basidiomycota. RNAcentral's name for it is "sequence contains ITS2". The record is from RNAcentral. Lineage: Eukaryota; Fungi; Basidiomycota. RNAcentral also lists the same sequence under 1 other name.
AACUCUCAACCCCCCUGUUUUGUAAUGAGAUAGGCGUGGGCUUGGAUUAUGGCUGUCUGUCGGCGUAAAGUCGGCUCAGCUGAAAUACACGAGCAACCCAUUUGAAAUAGACGGUUUGACUCGGCGUAAUAAUUAUUUCGCUGAGGACGUCUUCUUUAAAGUCAGUGGUGCUUCUAAUGCGUAUCAUACACUUUUAGC